RNAcentral lists this unclassified non-coding RNA (636 nucleotides) under Hevea brasiliensis (rubber tree). Lineage: Eukaryota; Viridiplantae; Streptophyta; Magnoliopsida; Malpighiales; Euphorbiaceae. The record is from RNAcentral.
GCUUAAGAGCAUCUUUUGAGAUAAAUUCCAUGCAAAUAUACACAAUUUGUUGCUUUCAUCUGGAUAUACAGGGUGGUGAAGAGAGCAUGUGCGAUAACAAUGGCACAACUAGGCGAGUAGUUACCAUGAACAGCACAAGCACUUUAUGUUCAAAAGUCAUAACUGAUCCUAUGAGCAAUAGAUUGAAUAUUGAGUAGCAGCCUCAAACAUACUGUGUAACAACCAACGCUACAAGCAAUAGAUCGUGAGCAACCGCCUCAAAUAAACAAUCCCUUUACUGGUGAAAUCACUUUUUUGCAAAACUAAGCUAUUAUGGUCUAAGAAAGCAAAGCUCUUAAUCAUAAGAUGCUCUAUUGGUCCCAAGCUCCACAUAGGGUUGCUAAUUGGGUGGAGUCUUCCCACAGCAAUGUGGACAAAAAUCUAUCACAUGGUCAGCAGUCCUACUGUUCAGGAAGAACAUAAACCACUCAGUAGUUGUACCUUCUUCUAACAGGACUCUGCUGGCAGAAUUCUGGUCAUUCUUCUUGCUUACAUCUUCUUUCGUCAAAACUCGUUUUUUUCCCAGUCUUCAAGUCAUUCAGAGCUUCAGUUCUUCAACCAGCUCUGAUGUGAAUCAGGGAGCCUAAAGAGCCCUGG